RNAcentral lists this ribosomal RNA (253 nucleotides) under uncultured bacterium. RNAcentral's name for it is "partial 16S ribosomal RNA". It matches the Rfam family "Bacterial small subunit ribosomal RNA", at positions 524 to 776 of the family's 1533-position model. The record is from RNAcentral.
UACGUAGGGGGCGAGCGUUAUCCGGAAUUACUGGGUGUAAAGGGAGCGUAGACGGCGAGGUAAGCCUGAAGUGGAAGCCCGCGGCCCAACCGCGGAACCGCUUUGGGAACUGUUUUGCUGGAGUAUGGGAGGGGUAAGCGGAAUUCCUGGUGUAGCGGUGAAAUGCGUAGAUAUCAGGAGGAACACCGGUGGCGAAGGCGGCUUACUGGACCAUAACUGACGUUGAGGCUCGAAAGCGUGGGGAGCGAACAGG